This 883-nucleotide ribosomal RNA is filed under the name Guptibacillus hwajinpoensis. RNAcentral's name for it is "bacterial SSU rRNA". It matches the Rfam family "Bacterial small subunit ribosomal RNA", at positions 404 to 1279 of the family's 1533-position model. The record is from RNAcentral. Lineage: Bacteria; Bacillati; Bacillota; Bacilli; Caryophanales; Guptibacillaceae.
AGUGACGAAGGCCUUCGGGUCGUAAAGCUCUGUUGUUAGGGAAGAACAAGUACCGUUCGAAUAGGGCGGUACCUUGACGGUACCUAACCAGAAAGCCACGGCUAACUACGUGCCAGCAGCCGCGGUAAUACGUAGGUGGCAAGCGUUGUCCGGAAUUAUUGGGCGUAAAGCGCGCGCAGGCGGUCUUUUAAGUCUGAUGUGAAAGCCCACGGCUCAACCGUGGAGGGUCAUUGGAAACUGGAGGACUUGAGUGCAGAAGAGGAGAGUGGAAUUCCACGUGUAGCGGAUGAAAUGCGUAGAUAUGUGGAGGAACACCAGUGGCGAAGGCGGCUCUCUGGUCUGUAACUGACGCUGAGGCGCGAAAGCGUGGGGAGCAAACAGGAUUAGAUACCCUGGUAGUCCACGCCGUAAACGAUGAGUGCUAGGUGUUGGGGGGUUCCACCCUCAGUGCUGAAGUUAACACAUUAAGCACUCCGCCUGGGGAGUACGACCGCAAGGUUGAAACUCAAAGGAAUUGACGGGGGCCCGCACAAGCAGUGGAGCAUGUGGUUUAAUUCGAAGCAACGCGAAGAACCUUACCAGGUCUUGACAUCCUCUGACAAUCCUGGAGACAGGACGUUCCCCUUCGGGGGACAGAGUGACAGGUGGUGCAUGGUUGUCGUCAGCUCGUGUCGUGAGAUGUUGGGUUAAGUCCCGCAACGAGCGCAACCCUUGAUCUUAGUUGCCAGCAUUUAGUUGGGCACUCUAAGGUGACUGCCGGUGACAAACCGGAGGAAGGUGGGGAUGACGUCAAAUCAUCAUGCCCCUUAUGACCUGGGCUACACACGUGCUACAAUGGACGGUACAAAGGGCAGCGACACCGCGAGGUGAAGCAAUCCCAUAA